CGAUGAAUGCCGCACCCUAAAAGAAAAGAUUCAAACCCUGAUUGAUACAAAAGUCAUAUAAGCAAAAGAAGCCACACCAAAUGUCCGCAACAACCCCCUCCCAGAUCAUAGGGGUGAAGGGGUAAAUGUGAUAGAGACUGAUGAAGAAUGGGAUCUUGAGGGGUCAUCGGGCUUAUUCGGGAAGGUGAUGACCCUAUCCGAAUGCUGCACCCUAGAUGGCGAAAGUCCAGUAGCCGAAAGCAUCACUAGCUUAUGCUCUGACCCGAGUAGCAUGGGGCAUGUGGAUCCCGUGUGAAUAAACAAGGACCACUUUGCAAGGCUAAAUACUCCUAGGUGACCGAUAGCGAAGUAGUACCGUGAGGGAAGGGUGAAAAGAACCCCCAUAGGGGAGUGAAAUAGAACAUGAAACCG
This is a non-coding RNA of Nicotiana attenuata, 411 nucleotides long. Lineage: Eukaryota; Viridiplantae; Streptophyta; Magnoliopsida; Solanales; Solanaceae. The record is from Rfam.